GCAAGUCUAUUUGAAGCACCUUCGGGUGUGGAGGAUGGCGGACGGGUGAGUAACGCGUAAGGAACUUGUCUUUUGGACUGGGACAACUGUUGGAAACGAUAGCUAAUACCGGAUAUUAUGAGAUUCUCGCAUGGGGAACUUAUGAAAGCUAUAUGCACCAAAAGAGAGCCUUGCGUUCCAUUAGCUAGUUGGUGGGGUAAAGGCCUACCAAGGCGACGAUGGAUAGUCGGCCUGAGAGGGUGAAC
This 245-nucleotide ribosomal RNA is filed under the name uncultured bacterium. RNAcentral's name for it is "partial 16S ribosomal RNA". It matches the Rfam family "Bacterial small subunit ribosomal RNA", at positions 57 to 305 of the family's 1533-position model. The record is from RNAcentral.